GACGAACGCUGGCGGCGUGCUUAACACAUGCAAGUCGAACGAAGAGCGAUGGAAGCUUGCUUCUAUCAAUCUUAGUGGCGAACGGGUGAGUAACGCGUAAUCAACCUGCCCUUCAGAGGGGGACAACAGUUGGAAACGACUGCUAAUACCGCAUACGAUCUAACCUCGGCAUCGAGGAUAGAUGAAAGGUGGCCUCUACAUGUAAGCUAUCACUGAAGAAGGGGAUUGCGUCUGAUUAGCUAGUUGGAGGGGUAACGGCCCACCAAGGCGAUGAUCAGUAGCCGGUCUGAGAGGAUGAACGGCCACAUUGGGACUGAGACACGGCCCAGACUCCUACGGGAGGCAGCAGUGGGGAAUCUUCCGCAAUGGACGAAAGUCUGACGGAGCAACGCCGCGUGAGUGAUGACGGCCUUCGGGUUGUAAAGCUCUGUUAAUCGGGACGAAAGGCCUUCUUGCGAAUAGUGAGAAGGAUUGACGGUACCGGAAUAGAAAGCCACGGCUAACUACGUG
This 510-nucleotide ribosomal RNA is filed under the name uncultured bacterium. Its description in RNAcentral is "partial 16S ribosomal RNA". It matches the Rfam family "Bacterial small subunit ribosomal RNA", at positions 28 to 507 of the family's 1533-position model. The record is from RNAcentral.